RNAcentral lists this long non-coding RNA (5249 nucleotides) under Olea europaea (common olive). RNAcentral's name for it is "long non-coding RNA (OEUR_LNC008634)". The record is from RNAcentral. Lineage: Eukaryota; Viridiplantae; Streptophyta; Magnoliopsida; Lamiales; Oleaceae.
CUUCAUCUUGUUUGAUGGUUCAAGAAAAAUAGUUGCAUGAAGAAGUGUAUUUGAUAAUGGAUUUUAUGUUUGGAUGGAGGGAAAUUCAGCUUUCGGCAAAUAAUGGGAUGUGUGGUUUUAUUUUUAUAGAAAGGGAAAUGUAGCUUUCAAACGUGCGCGCAAGAUCUUCGAUAAAAUGUUCCAGCGGCAACACUUAAAAAGUGACAAGGCCUAGAAACGACAAAGAUUUUAAACAUAAAAAGCAGCAGCUUUCCAGUCUCCAUUCGCAAAGCUUCUCCAAAUAUGAUUUUGUUAAGGUAAGAAUUAUUGUUAUUACCCUUUCCUUUACGUUGUACCAUUAUUCAGUUCAAUUUAAUUUCUCAACCUUUUUAUUUUUAUUUUUUUAAUUAUGUAAUCUAGAGGUGCACGUAUAGUUGAUAAUUUUCUACUAGUUCAGCUGAAGGAAGCUGGAAAAAAAAAUUAAAAAAAAAUCCCUCUCUCUCUGUAGCACCAUCCCUUCUUCUCUUGGCCACAUCCAAGAGAAAUGCUGGCGGCUAAAAUUCCAGUUAUUGUUGUUUCUAGAGUUUGAAUUCACUCCUUCGAAAACAAUCGGACAGAAUUACCUGAAUGCAGGAAUUGAUCAACAGGAUCAGAAAUUGUAAUUCGAGCCCACCGACUUCACGAUGUGUCCUUAAAACGAAUUUGCUGCCUUCAAUGGUGCUAAAGGCGUCCAGCAAUCGUUUCCCAGGAUAGAACGAAUUUUUCGUCUCCUACGGAAGCAGCACUGCAGUCUGUAGGAGUUCCAACGAACUCAACGAAGUGUUUUUGACUUCGAGACAAUAUCAGAACGAGAGAGAGGGAAAUGAGAUUCAAAGCACAGAAAGUUUACAAUGAAAAUGGUGUAAAUUUUCUGGUAGAAAGGCUGGCUAUUUAUAGACUUGUUCGUGGCCAUUCGAACAGUCAUCACCUUUCAGACAAGCCUCAAAAAUCCGAACAGACAUACUGUUCUUAAAAGUCGUGUCUGUUAAGUCGGUUAACAGUCGACUGUUUGGUCGGUAAACAGUCGACUGUUUGGUCGGUAAACAGUCGAAACAGUCGACUUUAUAAACCACACCAAAGUUUCGGAAUAAGCCAAAAUUUAAAUAAAUUUUGUACCCAAGAAUUUGAUUAUUUGCAAUUUGGCCCAAAAUUUUAAAUAAAUUUUGUCCAAAAAGUUAAUAUAGUGUAAAGGUCGACCCGGACCGGACUCGGGCACGUGCUCGUGCCGUGCCGGUCGGACGGACGGCGGCGGCGGCGCGCGCGUGUGGGUUUAUGAUCGAACCCAAUGGGAUAUAGGUCUUCCCCCUUCCAAAGACUAUUGGUACCCCUUGGGGCCCAAACCCAAUUCCAAACUUCCACCUUAUAAACCACACCAAAGUUUCCUAACUUUCCUAUGUGGGAUAAGUGUUUGACAAAUCAAAUUUUUCCAUAAUCCUUAGUUUAUGUGGGUUACUUUAACGCUUAAUAUUUCAUUCAAUAAGUGUUUGACAAAUCAAAUUCUUCCAUAAUCCUUAGUUUAUGUGGGUUACUUUAACGCUUAAUAUUUCAUUCAAUUUUAAAUGGUUUUCGAUAAAUAAAUAUAUCACGUUAAUCAUCUCGCGGAGUAGAACGUGAAUAUGCUAGGUCCCGCAUUAUUUAAAAGGUGGGUCCCACUGAAAUUUGGGCUCAAAGUUGACCCAUUAAACCAUUUUUUCCAACAGUUAUAAAGCCAAGAAUCUAACCAAGUGAGGGUAAUAUCCCAAAUCUAAUCCUUUAGUUCUUGUCUCAAAUGUAUCCUUUAUCCUUGUUCCAGUGGAAAUUUAUGGUCAUGAAUGGGAGGAAAGGCAACACGCAAUGGAAAAUGUAGAUAUUCGUAUAUGAAAAAGCCUUUUUUCCUUACUCCAGCUAGAUACUUGUUUCUCAAUUUAAAUAUAAACUUACAGAGUUUUGGGCUUCAUUGAGUAUCACGGGUCAAGAUUUUACGAAGACAAAGAAAAAUCCAUCUAGGUUGACCUUCUGCAACUGACUUUCGGGCUUCAAAGAUAGAAAGUCCAGUUGCUGAUGUCUUUUUGACGUGUUGCUUCAAUUAGUGUGAAUUGUUCAUGUCAUAUCUCACCUGCAUCAUGAAAAAUCAUCUGCAUAAUAAAAAUAUAGCUGGUUACGAACAUCAGGAUGUCCAAAGUGAAAGAAAACAAGAAACUACAGCUUUCGAAUAUCAGAGAGUACCAGUUGGAAUUUUGAAGAGUCAAGAGUGGAAGCAACUAAGUAAUAGAAAAUAUAAUGCAAGAAUUAAUCAAACAGCUCUGAUAUAAGAAUGGGAAAUGUGUUGACAAAAUGUUUAUAUUGGGAAAAUUGCAACAUGAGUCCCCUAUCUAUUCACUUAUUAUCAAACUGGUUCUCAAAUUAUAUUUUGGCAUUUAAUUCGGUAACUGAUCAUUUUUAUAGCACCGUGAUUCCGAGCUUGAUAGAAUCCGUACAUAAUAGCAUCAAAUAUGUAUGCGAGUCCUACAUGGCAUUCUCGAGGGGCAAAAUGUCAUUAAUCUACAACGUUAAAAUGAGAGGUUAAACAUCCUACUCAUUCCAACCAUAACCACUCCCCCUCCAUUUCCCAACUGCACCCUCUCCUCGAUGCCGGAAGUAUGCUAAAAUAAAAAAUAGUUUAGUAUGAUAAACCACAUUUUAAACUUGCUAAAAUAAAAAACCUUGGUUUCUAAGUAAUGGACUUUAAUAAUUUUCCAAAAAUUUAGAGACUGAACGUUCGCACAACGGUGGAAUUGUUAAUAUAAUUGCAACUCGUGUCCUAUUUCAUUGCCAAUGGACUCGUGACAUCCAUGCACUGAGUCGUCAAAUGACGCACGUUAAGAACAUUCUACUAGUUUUCUUGUUCAAGUUCUUCUUUUACUAUAAAUCUGAUGGUGUAGUGUUUUAUUUAUCGUUAGUUCUGCCAUCGUACUGUUUAAUGGGAACUUUAUUUGUUACACUGAUGGUUAAUCCUUGUUGGUUAGCAGCUGAACAUUAAAUAUGAUAUGAACCACAUUAAACGGAUUCAAGAAAUCAGCGAAACAAUGAUAUAUAUAACUUAUGGUGCAAAACUUGUAUGAAACAAUGAAAUUUGACAUAUUUGAAAAUUUUGGCAAAAUUAAACUAAAUGAGCAUUAAAUCCCUUGCAUGUUGUUAUAAACUAUAUUUAAAAUUUGUAUACUGGAUUUAUGCAUGUUCUUUUAUUGCACAAAAAAUAAGUAUCAUGUUAAACAGAAACAUAAUUACUUUCUAAAAAUUCACAAGAAAAACUAAUAUUAUAUAUUGUUGAGUCCUUUAAUUUUCCGUCUUCAUAUGGCUUCAGCAUACUCUAUGGACCUGCAAAUAAAACACUUGUGUCAGGAUUCUUUUCAAACAGUAUACCAUGAAUAUGAACAUUCAACAACCUAUGAUGCACAAACACUCCUACAGGUGUGACGUGUUCGUGCUUGUGUUCGACAAAUAUUGUGUCAUGUCGUGUGAGUCACUGAUACUCUUCGAAUACUACAAGAAAUGUGUAUUAUAUGUAAUUUUUCUUCCAAUAGUGUAAUAUAUAGUUUAAUUUAAAGUUAUUUUAGUAUAAUAAAUAUCUACUCAUCAAAUUUCAAACAUUUUACGAACAAAAGUCGAAACUGAAAAAGGACUUGAUUUCGUCAAAAGAUGAAAAGUAUAAAUAUAUAGAUAAAAUAUAUAUCUAAAUAUACAAUUUUAAAGAAUUUAAAUUAAUGUGUCCCCGAUGUGUCCAUGUUUUACAUAUUAAAUCAUGUGUUGGCAUAUCGUGUCGUGUCCAUGUCCGUGUCCCUAGAUAUUCAAGAACUUAGCAAAUAAGAAGAAUUGCCUGUUACUUAAUGAAAGUUUUUUCUCUUCAUUGAAUCUGGUGCCAAGAAAUGAAUCUCUGAUCAUUGACAACUCCCUGUCUACUUGGCGCAUACUCAUCCUAUGUUGUGGCAAGUCGACUGAACAUGCUACUCCAAUUUGAAGAACACAUAUUAAGCACUCUUGCUGUUCCAUUGUCAAGUUUUUCCAUCCUUCAUGCCAUGUUUUAGCUUUCCCUGUCGCUUCUUCACAUAGUGCUGAGUUGUCCAAAAUGUCCAUUGCUCGGUCUGGUAGUGUUAGUUUGAGAAAAUGGUGAAGAUUCAAAUUCUCUUGGAAUAGUUUGUCAGUAGGCUUUUUUUCGGUGAAAAUCUCCAACAAGAGGAUCCCGAAACUGUAUACAUCUCCCAUAAUGGACACACGCUCCCCCAUCCCAUACUCUGAAAAGUUGAUUGUUUGUAUAACAUUCAUUUGAUUGUUAUGUAAAUGCAUGCAAUUCAAAACUUACUGUGAUUGUGUAACCUCAUGUCUCUGUACUUUAAUUGUGUCAGGCACAUUAUUUGUUAAAUUGGAAAAUUUAGAAAAACACAUUAAUUGUAGUUACCUGGAGCUGUAUAUCCAAUGGUUCCCUUAAUACCAAGUGAAGAGAACUGAUUUAUAUCCUCUCUUGUGUUGAACUUUGGAAGGAGCUGAGCUAAACCAAAAUCACCUACAUGGGCAGUCAUAUCAUUGUCGAGAAGAACAUUCAGUGGCUUCAGAUCUCAAUGAACUAGAGGUGUUUGGCAUUGAUGGUGAAGAUAAGAUAAUGCAGAAGCCACGUCUGUUGCUAUGCUAAUCCUUUGAAGAAUGUUUAAACUGUUCUGUUCUAACUCUUCUUCCGGAUGUAACCAUUUCUCUAAGCUCCCAUUUGGCAUGAAUUGAUACACCAGAGCUUUAAAAUCAUUGCCUUGAAAAUCAGAAGUUGAACAAGCUGUUAUGAUCUUGACAAGGUGCCGGUGGCGGAUGUUUCUCAAUGCUUGACAUUCCGCUAUAAAGCUUCUGGAGGCUCCUUUUCGCUGGUGGUUGAGAACUUUAACUGCCACUACCAAUCCACUUAUGCUAAGAAUACCCUUGAAAACAAUGCCAAAACUGCCUGAUCCAAUGAUGUUUUCUGAAGAGAAUCCUCCAGUUGCAUUUAGUAGUUCUUCAUAAGAUAUCUUGGGGUAGAAAUUCAAUGUUGUAGAUACUGCUUGUGUUUGUUUCUUCGAUCUUUUCAUCCAGCAAAUCAGAAGAAGAAAUAAUAGCAGAGCAACAAAUGAAGCAACAAUGACAAUUACCAAGAUUAAUUUAAAAUGUUCUCUGUGUGCCUUUUUAGGUUCUUGCCUGGAGCUUGGUUGCAAAUGCAACUCUUGAAUUCCACCGCAAAGCUCGGGAUUUCCACG